This 497-nucleotide ribosomal RNA is filed under the name uncultured bacterium. RNAcentral's name for it is "partial 16S ribosomal RNA". It matches the Rfam family "Bacterial small subunit ribosomal RNA", at positions 28 to 507 of the family's 1533-position model. The record is from RNAcentral.
GAUGAACGCUGGCGGCGUGCCUAAUACAUGCAAGUCGAGCGAACAGACGAGGAGCUUGCUCCGCUGACGUUAGCGGCGGACGGGUGAGUAACACGUGGAUAACCUACCUAUAAGACGGGGAUAACUUCGGAAAACCGGUGCUAAUACCGGAUAAUAUAUUGAACCGCAUGGUUCAAUAGUGAAAGACGGCUUUGCUGUCACUUAUAGAUGGAUCCGCGCCGCAUUAGCUAGUUGGUAAGGUAACGGCUUACCAAGGCGACGAUGCGUAGCCGACCUGAGAGGGUGAUCGGCCACACUGGAACUGAGACACGGUCCAGACUCCUACGGGAGGCAGCAGUAGGGAAUCUUCCGCAAUGGGCGAAAGCCUGACGGAGCAACGCCGCGUGAGUGAUGAAGGUCUUCGGAUCGUAAAACUCUGUUAUUAGGGAAGAACAAAUGUGUAAGUAACUAUGCACGUCUUGACGGUACCUAAUCAGAAAGCCACGGCUAACUACGUG